Molecule: RNA transcript, 3090 nt
Organism: Homo sapiens (human)
Lineage: Eukaryota; Metazoa; Chordata; Mammalia; Primates; Hominidae
Gene: RSPH4A
Gene name: radial spoke head component 4A
Exons: 7
Source: RefSeq, marked reviewed
AUGGAGAUAGGACGCAGCAACUCACAGAGCAACCAGGACCCAGAAAUCGCUUAAGAGACCGCGGCAAAGUAACUUAACUGAGUUGCCUUCUUCCAUAUUUUCACGCCCCUUUCAUCCAGAACAUUUUUUUUCUUGAACUGCUUCCAUGGAGGACUCAACCUCCCCGAAGCAAGAAAAAGAAAACCAAGAAGAACUAGGGGAAACAAGGCGGCCAUGGGAAGGAAAGACAGCAGCUUCUCCCCAAUAUUCUGAGCCUGAGUCGUCUGAGCCCUUGGAGGCGAAGCAGGGGCCAGAAACUGGACGCCAGUCCCGAAGCAGCCGUCCUUGGAGCCCGCAGUCUAGAGCCAAGACGCCUCUGGGUGGCCCCGCGGGACCAGAAACAUCAUCACCUGCUCCUGUCUCUCCGCGGGAGCCCUCUUCCUCUCCUUCUCCCCUGGCUCCGGCCAGACAAGACCUCGCGGCACCACCUCAGUCGGACAGGACCACGAGUGUGAUUCCUGAAGCUGGGACACCUUAUCCUGAUCCUUUGGAACAAUCAUCUGAUAAAAGAGAAUCAACUCCUCAUCACACAAGCCAGUCAGAAGGAAACACCUUUCAACAGUCUCAGCAACCCAAACCCCACCUGUGUGGACGAAGGGACGUGAGCUAUAACAACGCUAAACAGAAAGAGCUGAGAUUUGACGUUUUUCAGGAGGAAGACUCAAACAGUGACUAUGAUUUACAGCAGCCGGCGCCUGGGGGCUCUGAAGUGGCCCCCAGCAUGCUUGAGAUCACCAUUCAGAAUGCUAAGGCUUACCUGCUGAAGACUAGCAGCAAUUCGGGCUUUAAUCUAUAUGAUCAUCUUUCUAAUAUGUUGACCAAGAUAUUAAAUGAGCGUCCUGAAAAUGCUGUUGACAUCUUUGAAAAUAUUAGCCAAGAUGUGAAGAUGGCACAUUUUAGUAAAAAAUUUGAUGCACUACAAAAUGAGAAUGAGUUGCUUCCAACAUAUGAAAUAGCAGAAAAGCAAAAGGCUCUUUUUCUCCAGGGACAUUUGGAAGGAGUUGACCAAGAAUUGGAAGAUGAAAUAGCAGAAAACGCUCUUCCAAAUGUAAUGGAGUCAGCUUUUUAUUUUGAACAAGCUGGAGUUGGUUUGGGCACAGAUGAGACAUACCGCAUAUUUCUUGCCCUCAAGCAGCUUACUGAUACCCACCCAAUCCAAAGAUGCCGCUUCUGGGGAAAGAUCUUGGGUCUGGAAAUGAAUUAUAUUGUAGCUGAAGUGGAAUUUCGUGAGGGGGAAGAUGAAGAGGAAGUGGAAGAGGAAGAUGUAGCUGAAGAGAGGGACAAUGGAGAAAGUGAAGCUCAUGAAGAUGAGGAAGAUGAAUUACCAAAGUCCUUUUACAAGGCCCCACAGGCUAUACCAAAAGAAGAAAGUAGAACAGGUGCCAACAAAUAUGUCUAUUUUGUUUGCAAUGAACCAGGAAGACCAUGGGUGAAGUUACCACCAGUUAUACCUGCACAAAUUGUUAUUGCAAGAAAAAUCAAGAAAUUUUUCACUGGGCGAUUGGAUGCUCCCAUCAUAAGCUACCCACCUUUCCCAGGAAAUGAGAGUAAUUAUUUACGAGCACAAAUUGCCCGAAUUUCAGCAGGAACCCACGUCAGUCCUCUAGGAUUUUAUCAGUUUGGUGAAGAGGAAGGAGAGGAGGAGGAAGAGGCAGAAGGUGGGCGAAAUAGCUUUGAGGAAAACCCUGAUUUUGAAGGCAUCCAAGUGAUUGAUCUAGUAGAAUCCCUAUCCAAUUGGGUUCAUCAUGUACAGCAUAUUCUCUCUCAGGGUCGCUGUAAUUGGUUCAACUCCAUACAAAAAAAUGAGGAAGAAGAAGAGGAAGAAGAUGAAGAAAAAGACGAUUCUGACUACAUAGAACAGGAAGUGGGGCUUCCUCUUUUGACACCAAUCUCUGAAGAUUUAGAGAUUCAGAAUAUACCCCCCUGGACAACACGGUUAUCCUCAAAUCUCAUUCCACAAUAUGCUAUUGCAGUCCUUCAAUCCAACCUUUGGCCUGGAGCAUAUGCCUUCUCCAAUGGCAAUUUUACAGACCUGGAGACCAAGAGGAGGAUGAGAGGGCUAGAAGUGAAAAAGUGCUGAGCACAGAGAGCAGAGAAAGGAGGGGCUGGAAAGGCCUCUGCUGAAGGCCUCAGAUAAAGAGACCUAGGAACGGAAGCACCUGGUCUAGGAAUGCAAACAUUGAAGAGCAUGACGAGCCAAAGGGGCCAGCGUCCUUGACUGCAACUUCCCGUAAAGACAGCAGUGCAUUGUACUCCAAGUCUGAUGUGCCAGAAAGUUUGAAAAUUUCUACAUAGGCUGGGGUCAUAAGUAUAGUCCAGACAAUUAUACACCCCCAGUUCCACCACCAGUUUAUCAAGAAUACCCCAGUGGACCAGAAAUUACAGAAAUGGAUGAUCCUAGUGUGGAGGAGGAGCAGGCUUUCAGGGCUGCACAAGAAGCAGUUCUACUCGCAGCUGAGAAUGAAGAAUCUGAGGAAGAUGAAGAUGAGGAAGAUGAUUAUGACUAAUAAACAUAAAAUUAGCCUGGUUUUAUGUGACACUGAUACACACACACCCCUUAUAUGGGACUAAUUUUACACUUUUCUGUGUUAUGUGUGUAUAUACAUACACAUGUAAGAAAUUAUUCAACUGCAAAAUCUCAAUCUUGAAAAUCAAGCUUGAAAUUUCAUAGGUAGAAAUAUUAGCAUUUUUAUUGAAAGAUACUCACAGGAUUUUCCAGAGGCUAAAUAACAUGCAAUUGCAUAAUUGUUCUGAGGGUUAUGGAUAAUGGAAUAUGUGUUUGUACAUUCCUGUUUUUAAAAGGGCUCAGGUUUCACAUGGUCCAGGUGAGGUAAAACAAUUAAAAUAAAUAAAUAAAUGGUCUCAGGUUUAAUUUGUAAUACGACAAACACUGGAAGAUAUAACCCACAGGAAAUUCUUGGAAACAUCAAUACUUUUUAAAGAGUGUCAAGGGGUAUGAAGACAAAAAAUAUUGAUAGUCACUAGAGUAAUGUAUUCUUAACCUUUGUAAGAACUGAUCUCAGCAUGUAUUCUUAAACCUUUGUAAUUACC